GACGUAGUUGACUCGUGGCUCGAGGACGACGCUGGCGGCGUGCUUAACACAUGCAAGUCGAGCGGAAAGGCCCUUUCGGGGGUACUCGAGCGGCGAACGGGUGAGUAACACGUGAGUAAUCUGCCCCGUACUUCGGGAUAGCCACCGGAAACGGUGAUUAAUACCGGAUAUGACCUGCCUUCGCAUGUUGGUGGGUGGAAAGUUUUUUCGGUACGGGAUGUGCUCGCGGCCUAUCAGCUUGAUGGUGAGGUAAUGGCUCACCAUGGCUUCGACGGGUAGCCGGCCUGAGAGGGUGACCGGUCACACUGGGACUGAGACACGGCCCAGACUCCUACGGGAGGCAGCAGUGGGGAAUAUUGGACAAUGGGCGGAAGCCUGAUCCAGCAACGCCGCGUGAGGGAUGACGGCCUUCGGGUUGUAAACCUCUUUCGCCUGUGACGAAGCGCAAGUGACGGUAACAGGUAAAGAAGCACCGGCCAACUACGUG
Molecule: ribosomal RNA, 487 nt
Filed under: uncultured bacterium
Lineage: Bacteria
Description: bacterial SSU rRNA
Rfam family: Bacterial small subunit ribosomal RNA
Source: RNAcentral